UUAAAGCAUAGCGGAAAAGCGUCUGAAAUUUUUUUUUUGAAAACCUGACCCUAGGGUAUGCCAGAUCCGCCACAAAUGCAGAAGGUCCACUGUUCACACGGACAGAGUGUCCCCUGUAUUUGCACGGCGUCGCACAAGUACAAGAGUUCAAACAUGAUACAACUACAACCAGAUGAACAUACAAAUAACCACAGUUAUAUAUUCAUACACCAUUCACCACAGGUUCACAUUUUUACAUUCAAUAUUUAAACAUAAAUCCACAUCUAUCAGUUAAAAUGUUUCCAACCACAGAAACAAGUUUUGAAAUACUAAGAUGCAAAAUCCAUAGAAAAUCCUUUGAAAACUGUUCCCACACAGGAACUUUUAUUCUUUAAAAACGCUACCACGAGGGGUAGAAAACCUUUUAUUUCACAAAAUCCAGAAAUCCAUUUAUUACAUUCACGAAAAUUCAUAUUUUCAAAUGUAAUAAAAGUACUGAACCAUAUAACUAUCUAAGCUAUAACAACUGAGAUACUAAGGGUAAUAACUAUACCGAAAUAACCUGGGUCGGAAGCUCUAUCGUCCGCUACACACGUACCUCACGUCUCGUCCCACUACUCAACGCCCGCGAUACCUGAAAAAUGGUGGGGGAGGUGAGAACAUGUAAACAUGUCUCCCCUCCCAGUGGGUACCGCAAGCCGAAGAAGGCGAGGAGUACUCACCGGAUCAGGAAGAACUAUACAACAACAUGGGUCAGUGGAAAUAAACAAAGUAAUGAGCAGAUAUACAACAACGAUAAACUGAAAGGAAGUGAGAACUAUACUGAAUAAACUGCUACCGCUACUGUAACUAGAACAGAAAGCAUACAUGAAUAUCUACUAUAGUAGCAAGACAACUAUAAAGUAAGAACUAUAAGUAUGCAUGCAAUGACUGCUGCUAUAGACAUAUGCGUCAACCGGUCAAGAAGUCCAAAAGUACCCAAUCUGAAACCAAUGCUCUCUUGGUCAGCACCGCAGACCUCAAGCCAAU
RNAcentral lists this long non-coding RNA (1008 nucleotides) under Ananas comosus (pineapple). Its description in RNAcentral is "long non-coding RNA (ACOM_LNC038758)". Lineage: Eukaryota; Viridiplantae; Streptophyta; Magnoliopsida; Poales; Bromeliaceae. The record is from RNAcentral.